Molecule: ribosomal RNA, 670 nt
Filed under: uncultured Actinomycetales bacterium
Lineage: Bacteria; Bacillati; Actinomycetota; Actinomycetes; Actinomycetales
Description: bacterial SSU rRNA
Rfam family: Bacterial small subunit ribosomal RNA
Source: RNAcentral
CAAGUCGAACGGAAAGGCCCUGCUUGCAGGGUACUCGAGUGGCGAACGGGUGAGUAACACGUGGGUGAUCUGCCCUGCACUUCGGGAUAAGCUUGGGAAACUGGGUCUAAUACCGGAUAGGACCGCACUUUAGUGUGUGUGGUGGAAAGUUUUUUCGGUGUAGGAUGAGCUCGCGGCCUAUCAGCUUGUUGGUGGGGUAAUGGCCUACCAAGGCGGCGACGGGUAGCCGGCCUGAGAGGGUGUACGGCCACAUUGGGACUGAGAUACGGCCCAGACUCCUACGGGAGGCAGCAGUGGGGAAUAUUGCACAAUGGGCGCAAGCCUGAUGCAGCGACGCCGCGUGGGGGAUGAAGGCCUUCGGGUUGUAAACUCCUUUCGCUAGGGACGAAGCUUUUUGUGACGGUACCUAGAUAAGAAGCACCGGCUAACUACGUGCCAGCAGCCGCGGUAAUACGUAGGGUGCGAGCGUUGUCCGGAAUUACUGGGCGUAAAGGGCUCGUAGGUGGUUUGUCGCGUCGUCUGUGAAAUUCUGGGGCUUAACUCCGGGCGUGCAGGCGAUACGGGCAUAACUUGAGUGCUGUAGGGGUAACUGGAAUUCCUGGUGUAGCGGUGAAAUGCGCAGAUAUCAGGAGGAACACCGAUGGCGAAGGCAGGUUACUGGGCAGUUACU